AAGAUGUUUAUAGUAGUUCCACGCCAAUCUUGCACUAACAUCCACUCUUCAAAACUUGUUGAGAAUAUUAUUAUAAUCUAUAACUAGAUUACAGUUUAAUUGUUUUCUGAGUUCAUAACCAAAUCCAGUUGAUUUUCUUAGAUCAAUCAACCGAAACCGUCACCGAUUGUUUUCUGGGUUCACAAUCAACCUAGUUAAUUUUUUCAGACCAAUCAAUCAAAACCUAUCUCGAGCCUUUUCCAAGCUCAAUACAAUCCAAUUUAAGAUUUGGACAGACCUUUUCCCCAAGUUUCACUUUCAAAAACUUGUUAUAGCAAAAGACAAAAAGAAUUAAAUGUUAUUCCAAUAAAUAUAGCUCCAGGGUAGGAGUCGACUCGUGAUCUUCAAGAGUCAGCUCGAACUUGCUUUUAUUUCUAUUGCGCUCUAUCUUUCGUUUGUGGCGCUUGUGGAGUUGGCUCUCUCAAUUUAAGGAUCGAUUCGAGAUUUUUAGGAGUCAACUCGUUGAUUUCAGAAAUUGACUUUUCAACGAACUAUCUUUUAAUACUUUCUGUCUUUCUAUUGUGGCCAUUCUGUGGUCGACUCAACUAUUUCUAGGAUUGACUCUAAUUUUAUUGGAGUCGGCUCAUAAAUUCCGGGUCGACUCAUCCAUCUAAAUCUCCACAUCAAGAAGCAAACUCCAAAAAGCAAUAAAAAUAUUUUUUUGGAAUCUUACAUACAAGCACAGAAA
RNAcentral lists this long non-coding RNA (727 nucleotides) under Phoenix dactylifera (date palm). RNAcentral's name for it is "long non-coding RNA (PDAC_LNC006706)". The record is from RNAcentral. Lineage: Eukaryota; Viridiplantae; Streptophyta; Magnoliopsida; Arecales; Arecaceae.